GCCCUGCUGGCGCAAUGGUCUAGCGCAUCUGACUUCUAAUCAGGGGAUUCUGGGUUCGAGUCCCAGGUGGGGCU
This is a transfer RNA of Pneumocystis jirovecii, 74 nucleotides long. It matches the Rfam family "tRNA". From Rfam's summary of the family: Transfer RNA (tRNA) molecules are approximately 80 nucleotides in length. Their secondary structure includes four short double-helical elements and three loops (D, anti-codon, and T loops). Lineage: Eukaryota; Fungi; Ascomycota; Pneumocystomycetes; Pneumocystales; Pneumocystaceae. The record is from Rfam.